Molecule: ribosomal RNA, 770 nt
Filed under: uncultured bacterium
Lineage: Bacteria
Description: bacterial SSU rRNA
Rfam family: Bacterial small subunit ribosomal RNA
Source: RNAcentral
AACUCGGGGAAACUCGAGCUAAUACCGCAUACGCCCUACGGGGAAAGCAGGGGAUCUUCGGACCUUGUGCUAUUGGAUGAGCCCGCGUCAGAUUAGUUAGUUGGUGGGGUAAUGGCCUACCAAGACGACGAUCUGUAGCUGGUCUGAGAGGAUGACCAGCCACACUGGAACUGAGACACGGUCCAGACUCCUACGGGAGGCAGCAGUGGGGAAUAUUGCACAAUGGGCGCAAGUGAUGCAGCCAUGCCGCGUGUGUGAAGAAGGCUCUAGGGUUGUAAAGCACUUUCAGUAGGGAGGAAAGGAGUGUAGUUAAUACCUGCGUUCUGUGACGUUACCUACAGAAGAAGCACCGGCUAACUCCGUGCCAGCAGCCGCGGUAAUACGGAGGGUGCAAGCGUUAAUCGGAAUUACUGGGCGUAAAGCGCGCGUAGGGGCUUGUUAAGCUAGCUGUGAAAGCCCCGGGCUCAACCUGGGAACUGCAGUUAGAACUGGCAAGCUAGAGUACAGCAGAGGAUAGUGGAAUUUCAGGUGUAGCGGUGAAAUGCGUAGAUAUCUGAAGGAACACCAGUGGCGAAGGGACUGUCUGGGCUGAUACUGACGCUGAGGUGCGAAAGGUGGGGAGCAAACAGGAUUAGAUACCCUGGUAGUCCACGCCGUAAACGAUGUCUACUAGCCGUUGGGAUCCUUGAGAUCUUAGUGGCGCAGUAACGCACUAAGUAGACCGCCUGGGGAGUACGGUCGCAAGAUUAAAACUCAAAUGAAUCGACGGG